CUGCAUGUAGCUACCCGUGCUCGUCUAAGAUCAAUGUGAUUAUGCGAAGAAGAAAAAGAAGUUCCAAUGCUCAUGCUAAAUUGAUCUCCCUGCUAGUGUUGCAUAUUAGCUCUCUGUACCUCUUUUCCAUGGCUGAUUUGUGUUAAUUCAACGGCUACACUU
Ipomoea nil (Japanese morning glory) is the source of this 162-nucleotide small nucleolar RNA. It matches the Rfam family "small nucleolar RNA snoR134". NCBI's taxonomy places the organism in Eukaryota, Viridiplantae, Streptophyta, Magnoliopsida, Solanales, Convolvulaceae. The record is from Rfam.